RNAcentral lists this ribosomal RNA (468 nucleotides) under uncultured bacterium. RNAcentral describes it as "partial 16S ribosomal RNA". It matches the Rfam family "Bacterial small subunit ribosomal RNA", at positions 28 to 507 of the family's 1533-position model. The record is from RNAcentral.
GACGAACGCUGGCGGCGUGCUUAACACAUGCAAGUCGAACGGAAAGGCCCUGCUUUUGUGGGGUGCUCGAGUGGCGAACGGGUGUGUAACACGUGAGUAACCUGCCCUUGACUUUGGGAUAACUUCAGGACACUGGGGCUAAUACCGGAUAGGAGCUCCUGCUGCAUGGGGGGGGUUGGAAAGUUUCGGCGGUUGGGGAUGGACUCGCGGCUUAUCAGCUUGUUGGUGGGGUAGUGGCUUACCAAGGCUUUGACGGGUAGCCGGCCUGAGAGGGUGACGGGCCACAUUGGGACUGAGAUACGGCCCAGACUCCUACGGGAGGCAGCAGGGGGGAAUAUUGCACAAUGGGCGGAAGCCUGAUGCAGCAACGCCGCGUGCGGGAUGACGGCCUUCGGGUUGUAAACCGCUUUCGCCUGUGACGAGGCGUGAGUGACGGUAAUGGGUAAAGAAGCACCGGCUAACUACGUG